GGGUUAAUUUAAGAUAAAAGAACUAGAUAGGAAGAAGCCUGCCAUGACCAUACAGUUUAUAAGUAAUACAAGUCUCUGUGUGUUUACUUGGGUCUGAGCAGCUGCAGGAGCUGGGUCAACACAGGAAAACUCCAGCUACAGAAAGAGCUUAAAGAGAGGAAUCAUGGGAAGCGCUAUGGACAGCAGGGCAGCUCAGUGUUAAAUCCUGCUGAUGUCAGAGUCACUAACAGACUCCUUUGCUUGUGUCUCCUCUCAAGGGCUGAAGAAGAGGCCUGGGUCCAUGGUUCUUAAACCAUGGGUCUCAGUUUGGCCUGGUGUGGUCUACAGGCCACAGGAGGGAGCCAGGCCAGAAUUCCACAAAACUGUGUACCCCAAACAUCAUUGUUAUGUAUCAGCCACCUCAAGCAACUCAGACACAAGCGGUUUAUCCCUCCUCUCCCUGCAGUGUGAGCUGUUAGCUCCCCAACUUAAGCUCAUAGUUGUCCCAGCACUAUGGCUGGACAGAGAAGUCAGCCACCUGGCCACCCUCUUUGAAAGAGCUAGCCGGUCACCUUCUGCAAUACACAUUCUAGAACCUCGUGUUCCACAUGACUUGGGGUCUUCAUCAACUCAUCUCCUAACUUGUCAAUGCCAGAUGGAAAGAAGUACAUGGACUGUGUAAGCCCAGGAGCCUCCUUCCACUAGUCGCCCAUCGUGCUGUUCCCCUGUCUCAGAAGUCCAGGAACUGGUGUCAUAGUUUUGUCCUAAUGAGUCUGCUGAAAAUCACAUGUGUGGCUGGAAUCCAUGAAGAAUAGGAGGGUAAACCCUUGUCAGCUGCCUCUGUGGGACUGUCACAGAAUGGCAGCUCUUCGCUUUGUGUGGGAGCCUUUGCCACAGUGACUCAGUACUGUGGACCCGAUGGCUCAUUUCUGCUUGAUGUGGACACAUCAGGACUACAUAUGAAACUGGAGCAGUGGUGCACUCUCCAUAGUUGGAACGAGAUUUCCCAGGCCUGAUAUGGAAAUUCUUUUACUUUAUUAAAUGCUCACUUGAUUUUUA
This is a non-coding RNA of Peromyscus maniculatus bairdii (prairie deer mouse), 1038 nucleotides long. NCBI's taxonomy places the organism in Eukaryota, Metazoa, Chordata, Mammalia, Rodentia, Cricetidae. The record is from RefSeq and is a predicted model, not a curated record.